UCCACGCCGUAAACGAUGAGUACUAAGUGUUGGAGAAAUUCAGUGCUGUAGUUAACGCAAUAAGUACUCCGCCUGAGUAGUACGUGCGCAAGCAUGAAACUCAAAGGAAUUGACGGGACCCCGCACAAGCGGUGGAUCAUGUUGUUUAAUUCGAUGAUACGCGAAGAACCUUACCAGGUCUUGACAUCCCAUGCAAAGCUAUAGAGAUAUAGUGGAGGUUAUCAUGGAGACAGGUGGUGCAUGGUUGUCGUCAGCUCGUGUCGUGAGAUGUUGGGUUAAGUCCCGCAACGAGCGCAACCCUUAUUGCUAGUUACCAUCAUUAAGUUGGGGACUCUAGCGAGACUGCCAGUGAUAAACUGGAGGAAGGUGGGG
This 372-nucleotide ribosomal RNA is filed under the name uncultured bacterium. RNAcentral describes it as "bacterial SSU rRNA". It matches the Rfam family "Bacterial small subunit ribosomal RNA", at positions 794 to 1178 of the family's 1533-position model. The record is from RNAcentral.